This 25-nucleotide unclassified non-coding RNA is filed under the name Mus musculus (house mouse). RNAcentral describes it as "oocyte_clustered_small_RNA10729". The record is from RNAcentral. Lineage: Eukaryota; Metazoa; Chordata; Mammalia; Rodentia; Muridae.
UGCCACCGCCCCAACCACCUUCCGC